GCUGGGCGCAGUGUCGCAUGCCUGUAAUCCCAGCGGCUUGGGAGGCUGAAACAGGAGGAUUUCGAGUUCAAAGCCAGCCUCAGCAAUGGUGAGGUGUUUAGCCACUCAGUGAGACCCUGUCUCUA
RNAcentral lists this small RNA (125 nucleotides) under Marmota monax (woodchuck). Lineage: Eukaryota; Metazoa; Chordata; Mammalia; Rodentia; Sciuridae. The record is from RNAcentral.